Molecule: unclassified non-coding RNA, 302 nt
Filed under: uncultured fungus
Lineage: Eukaryota; Fungi
Description: partial contains small subunit ribosomal RNA, internal transcribed spacer 1, and 5.8S ribosomal RNA
Rfam family: Eukaryotic small subunit ribosomal RNA (bases 1-73)
Source: RNAcentral
GCAAACUUGGUCAUUUAGAGGAAGUAAAAGUCGUAACAAGGUCUCCGUUGGUGAACCAGCGGAGGGAUCAUUAAAGAGUUAUUACAACUCCCAAACCCAUGUGAACUUACCUUCUGUUGCCUCGGCAGGUCGUGACCUACCCUGUGAGGCCCUACCCUGUAGGGCCCUACCCGGUAGUCGCGGGUACGCCUGCCGGUGGCCCAUGAAACUCUGUUUAUUCAUGUCAUUCUGAAUCUAUAACUAAAUAAGUUAAAACUUUCAACAACGGAUCUCUUGGUUCUGGCAUCGAUGAAGAACGCAGC